UUUUAAUUAUAUUUUUGCCACAUGCGUCAUUUUUUGCGUCUUUCACGCAUCAUGUGAACAGGUCAAACGCAGCCAUAUGGGAUCACAGAUGUCUAUACUAUACUAGAUUGCUAACUUCGAUCUUUGACCUAUACAAGAGCUGUGUCCCGCUUAUUUUCCGGUUCGGCCAUGAAGACCGCCAAAACAUGGCGGCAGUGUGUGUUUGUAGUGCGUACGUGAGUAUCUGAUGCGUGUGUAGUAGUGCUGUACUGUAAGUAUGUGAUACCUGAUGUGUCUACACUGAUGUGUCGUAUCUACUUAUAUUAGUAAAACUGCAAAUAUAUAAACGAGAUAAUGCCAAGUACAUGUUGCAUUGUUAAUUGCAAUAAUACGAAUAAAAAAGGAUAUCACUUAUUUAAGUCCGUGCACAAUGCUAGGCAACAGGCAGUAGAAACAGGGAAUAGGACCUUAAAAGUGUGUUAAAAGAAAAUAUCAAGAUGCCAAAAUGUGUUGCCAAAAGUUGUAAAAGUGCAUCUACUAAAGGAAUUAAAAUGUGUUCCUUUUCACAAGAAAGGGAAAUAUAAAUAUUGUGGAUAAAAAAUGAAAGAUCGAAGUAACGGGCAGCUGAAAAAGGAUUCACGUUUAUGUGAGUUUCAUUUUGCUAAUGAUCAGUGGGAAACAAUAAGAGUCGAUGGCACCAAAAAAUUAAAAUGGAAAGCUGUACCAACAUUAUUGGGGAAGAUACUCAAAUUCGAAUAGAUAACUAUCUAUCCAGGAAGAGAGUUUAUCAACAAGUGAAAACAUAAAUCAAGUGAAUACAAAUGCAAACAAGAUGUUGGAGUUACCAAUAGAUACAACAAAGAUGUCGGCACAAUAUAACAGUAUAGAACAGAAAGGUGAAAAUGUACAAACUGAAGAAACUGAGACUGAAGUUGGAUCUAUUCAACAGUUGACAUUAAGUCAUUCAAAAACAAUUCCUGAGUAUGAGCAAAGAUUAGAAAAAUUAGAAAAAACAUUUGCUUCAAAGUGAGAGGAGCAGAAGAGGAAUGGUGAAACAGUUGCGGAACAUGAAAAUAAAACUGAAGAGACUACAGCAAGAAGUACGAACAAUGAAACAUAUAAAAAUAUUAAAUACGUUUUUUAAUGAAAAUCAAAUUAAAUUUAUUACUAACGCUUAUAAAAAAAUGCCAUGUUGGUGUAAUGAUAUUAAUCAUAUAUUAAUCAAGGUAUAUUAAUCAAGGCUUAUCGCUUAAAAUUUGCUUGCGGAUCGCAUAGGUAUGAAUAAUUACUCCGAAAUAAUUUCUCAUUGCCUUCUCUUCGAACUCUAACUCGCCAUUCAGAACAUUUAAAGUUUUUACCUGGUGUCUCUGAAGAAAUAUUUAAGUUUUUAGAGCUUAAAAUAGCUCAAUUUCAAAAUAACAUAAACAAAGAUUGCAUUGUUAUCAUGGAUGAAUAUAACACCUGGAAAAUUUUAUUGUACGUCAUCAAAUAUAAUUUUUGGUGAAUUUACAAUACCAAGUACAAGUGAGAGUAAUAUACAAAUGAGUAUUCAUUGCGAAAAAUCUAUUGCAAGUCAUGCAAUAGUGUUUUUACUUGGUGGAAUUGCUAGUCGAUGGAAACAGGUUGCUGCAUAUGAAUUUCUUAUAUCUGACUCCAUACAUAGCCGAGUUUUUAAAUCCAUCCAGAUACAGUUCCUGCACGGCACCAGAAAAGGAAAGAAAUAUUGUUUAUAUUAUACUUUAUGACGUUUUCUUAACAUCUCCAAUGUCAACGCGAUUAUCAUUAAGUUACUUUAUUACUUUGCUAUUUGUGAAAUUGUAUUAUCAUCAUGUAGGAAAAAUAUAUCUUUUAUAUAAAAUAAU
RNAcentral lists this unclassified non-coding RNA (1841 nucleotides) under Harpegnathos saltator (Jerdon's jumping ant). RNAcentral describes it as "uncharacterized LOC105187117, transcript variant X4". Lineage: Eukaryota; Metazoa; Arthropoda; Insecta; Hymenoptera; Formicidae. The record is from RNAcentral.